Molecule: unclassified non-coding RNA, 496 nt
Filed under: uncultured Paraglomus
Lineage: Eukaryota; Fungi; Glomeromycota; Glomeromycetes; Paraglomerales; Paraglomeraceae
Description: SSU rRNA
Rfam family: Eukaryotic small subunit ribosomal RNA
Source: RNAcentral
CCAAUAGCGUAUAUUAAAGUUGUUGUGGUUAAAAAGCUCGUAGUUGAACCUUGGGCCUGGCUGGCCGGUCCGCCUCACCGCGUGUACUGGUCCGGCCGGGCCUUUCCCUCUGUGGAACCUCAUGCCCUUCACUGGGUGUGACGGGGAAGCAGGACUUUUACUGUGAAAAAAUUAGAGUGCUCCAAGCAGGCCUAUGCUCGAAUACAUUAGCAUGGAAUAAUGAAAUAGGACGUGCGGUUCUAUUUUGUUGGUUUCUAGGACCGCCGUAAUGAUUAAUAGGGACAGUCGGGGGCAUCAGUAUUCAAUUGUCAGAGGUGAAAUUCUUGGAUUUAUUGAAGACUAACUACUGCGAAAGCAUUUGCCAAGGAUGUUUUCAUUAAUCAGGAACGAAAGUUAGGGGAUCGAAGACGAUCAGAUACCGUCGUAGUCUUAACCAUAAACUAUGCCGACUAGGGAUCGGACGAUGUUGUUUCAAUGACUCGCUCAGCACCUUAUG